RNAcentral lists this transfer RNA (63 nucleotides) under Episcapha fortunii. RNAcentral's name for it is "tRNA-Arg". The record is from RNAcentral. Lineage: Eukaryota; Metazoa; Arthropoda; Insecta; Coleoptera; Erotylidae.
AAAUAAGAAACAAAUUUUGUAUUUAGUUUCGACCUAAAAUUUUGAUGGAUUCAUCCUUAUUUU